UACGAGAUUAGCGAGUGUCUCGUGGGCUCGGAGAUGUGUAUAAGAGACAGACCUUACCAAAUCUUGACAUCCUUUGACAACUCUAGAGAUAGAGCCUUCCCCUUCGGGGGACAAAGUGACAGGUGGUGCAUGGUUGUCGUCAGCUCGUGUCGUGAGAUGUUGGGUUAAGUCCCGCAACGAGCGCAACCCUUAAGCUUAGUUGCCAUCAUUAAGUUGGGCACUCUAAGUUGACUGCCGGUGACAAACCGGAGGAAGGUGGGGAUGACGUCAAAUCAUCAUGCCCCUUAUGAUUUGGGCUACACACGUGCUACAAUGGACAAUACAAAGGGCAGCGAAACCGCGAGGUCAAGCAAAUCCCAUAAAGUUGUUCUCAGUUCGGAUUGUAGUCUGCAACUCGACUACAUGAAGCUGGAAUCGCUAGUAAUCGUAGAUCAGCAUGCUACGGUGAAUACGUUCCCGGGUCUUGUACACACCGCCCGUCACACCACGAGAGUUUGUAACACCCGAAGCCGGUGGAGUAACCUUUUAGGAGCUAGCCGUCGAAGGUGGGACAAAUGAUUGGGGUGAAGUCGUAACAAGGUAGCCGUAUCGGAAGGUGCGGCUGGAUCACCUCCUUU
This 617-nucleotide ribosomal RNA is filed under the name Staphylococcus aureus. Its description in RNAcentral is "bacterial SSU rRNA". It matches the Rfam family "Bacterial small subunit ribosomal RNA", at positions 947 to 1533 of the family's 1533-position model. Lineage: Bacteria; Bacillati; Bacillota; Bacilli; Caryophanales; Staphylococcaceae. The record is from RNAcentral.